RNAcentral lists this small RNA (4971 nucleotides) under Rattus norvegicus (Norway rat). RNAcentral describes it as "uncharacterized LOC102551656". Lineage: Eukaryota; Metazoa; Chordata; Mammalia; Rodentia; Muridae. The record is from RNAcentral.
CACACAUACAUAUGCAUGUGACCCAAGCUGUAGAAACAGGUGAAAUAAUGAGGGAAUAUGUAUUGAUGACUUGGAUUCUGCCUUGUCAAGGACCAUAGGUGCCUCAGACCAAUGGUCUUCUUCAUCCCUCUGAGAUUUAGAGGGGUGACAAAACCUUCCUCUGCUCCCAGUAUGAGUAUUUAUGAUCAAACUUCCUCCUCUCAGAUAACUACAGCCUGAGACAGAUUCCCCUACUAAGUCCUACCAAGACUAGCUAGCUGCUCCUCCUGCUAAACACACUGAUAGUCCAGGGUUUUGUGUAGCUGGUGCUGGUAAGUAUGGCCUUCCUGAUCCCCACUUCUCUAUAUAUGUGUCUGUCCUUUCUUCAUUUUCUUGUCCUUCCAGUCAGGUUGCCAGGACUGAGCUAUUGAGGCCACAGUGCCCAGGGAGACCCACUUAGGCUGAAUCUGCCCAAGGAGCAAGGGUUGCCAGGCAGCAGGACCAGGAUGACAUUCUGCUCGGUGUGAGGCAAGACCAUGGUGUAAGAAUGGUAGUCAGGCCAGGAGUAUGAACUGUGGAGAGGUGGCCAAGAUGCCUACAUAGGGGUCAGCAGCAGACUCGAACUUCUCUGGUAAAGUCUCUAGACUCCCAAGAGAAGAACCCUGCUGGACACAAGCAGGAAACUAGGUCCCCCGAAGGAGAACAGGAAUAUGGCAAAAAGGCUUGGAUUCCAGAUUCAAGAACCAUUUACAGUGAGACCUAGUGAUAGCCAUCAAUAGUCUGGGUGAGGUGAAAGAGGGCAGGACCCCAGCAUUCUGUGCUGUCUCACAUACCAGGAGGAAGGAGGCCUAGAGUCCUGAAAUCUGGGAAGAGCUGUCCAGCUGCUCACCCUGAGCUGAGGUCCACAGAUGGCUUUGGUCAAGAUUGUCCUCCUCUGAGCAAAGACCAAAGAUGUGCUAACACUGCAAGUUCCUGCCCACUACCCAAGUGUGUGUGCCAUUCACCACAGCCUAUGCAGAGAAAGGCUGGAAGAGGUCUGUGUUCAAUGUGAUUGCAGUACCUUCAAAGUGCCUGUAAGCCACGGCUCCUGUAGCUGAAGUACACUGCAGAUAGAGUUCUGCUCUAUGGCCAGGCUGCGGAAAGGUGGCCUUGACGGGUAGCUCUCAGAAGCAUGAUGGAAGUCAGCAGUGAGCAUCUCCUUCGUGGCACACUGGCAGGAGCCGUAGCACCAGGACGACGUUUGGUAUGCCAGGCACAUCCUGUGCCUCACACAUCCAGGGACUGCAAUCAGGUAGCUGAUGAGAAUUCAAGUCACAUCGCCUGGACCAUUGCCGCAGUGAACUGAUUCAUGCUGCUACUUCGAGGUGGGAGAAGGGACAGUGGGGCCCAGAGACAAACCAGCCUGGCUCUAUUAUACAGCUGCUGUUCUCAAGCUGAAACGUUCCGUCCUUUCCCACUCCCUGUCUUGCUGCUGAGCUGGCUACCUGUGAAGCCUGAAGAUUCCAGCCCCAGGUUCUGACUGAACAAUGGUAUUAUGUGAUGUAUAAAGAGUACCCAGGCAACGGAGACAGGCAUGGCUUCAUUCACUCAGUGCCCAGUGGCUUUUGAACGCUCCAGCAUUCAGCCUUUAUCCUGAGCAGCUCUGGGCCUCUCCCCUCCCAUUUAUUGCUCAGCUGUCCUCAUCAUAAUCUUUCCCCUGUCUGCAAGAGAGCCAUGAAUGAGGGAAGGAAAGGGGGGAGACAAAGAUACUCUGGUAACCAGAAAGACUCCUGAUUGUGGGUGAAGAGAUCUGAGGUUUGGUCUCUGGUGCCAUCACUCAUGAGGGAACCUUGAGUGCAUCUCUAGUCAGCUCCAGGUUCCCUUCCCGAUCUAAGUCUCUGGUAAGAGAAUCAGGAAGAAAGUCCAACGGGAGCUUUGCCAACUCUGACAUUCUAUCAUGUGGUUGUGACAAGUCCCCAGGACCACUGAGGAAUGGAGAGAGCUAACCAACGGGGACAAAGUACCAGAAACACCUAUUGUGACUCAUCUGUGAUGGUGACUAACAAGACCAAGGUCCACAGAUGAGGAAGUUAUGCCUGUGAGAGAGGUCAAGUUGCCCAAGCAUGACCCAGUCUGACCUGGCUUGUGUUGCUGACCAUCAGGAACCCCUCACCAAGCAUCAACACAGAUAUCCAGAGGCCCAGGGCUAGUGGUGGGAGCUGAGCCUCAAAGGCUCUUGAUUCUGUGAACUCCUGAAUGCAGUGAAGUGAAGCACCUGCUCAGGUGAGUCAUCCAUGGUUCAGAGUGGCAUAGAAUGAUGUGAGGUGGAAUGUGGAGAGAUCAUUCACUGGAUAACGUAAAAAUCGUGGGGACUAGAAUCAGACAGCAUACCAAAGAGGGUUCAGGAUCCUUGGCUAUCCAAUGGACACCAAAGGGCUCUGAGGCCCAGCCUGGAACUCAGGGGUAUCAAAGCACAACUGGUGCUUGAGGUCAGAGAUGUUCCAAAAGUACCACAGCUGCACUAUCAGAUGUUUGGGGCAUUCCUGAGGAGGGCCAGGAAUCGGGAAUCUUCUCUCUUCCUUCCUGUGCUCAAUCUGAGUCCUCAGAGUUAAGGGUGAAACAUUACAUCAGCCUGUAGAAAGCUCAGGGUCUGAGUUAAGGAGAAACUCCACAAAGAGAUGGUACAAUAACUCUUACUUAUCAACAGAAGUGAGAUCAUAAAGCAGGUGCCAUAACUGAGAAACCAGACAGACGUUUCCAGAAACCAAGAGUCACAGGCCCUCAGUCAUUUAACAGACAACACAAAGAUAUGACUGGUACUCAUGUUUCCACAUAAUGUGUCAUUGCAAGAGUGAAUUACUAAGGGGGCAGUUUUGUGAAGCAAAAGAUAUGGCCAUGUUAAGUAUACACUGUGGUAAGAGUCAGCCUGGCUUCAGAAAUGUGCAUUAUACUAUAAAAUAAUAGAACUUCAUGUCCAGGUCAAAAGUACAAAGGAGGCAGCAAAGAGCCAGCCCUCAAAGCUGCCUUGAGAAUCAUUCAUUCAUUCAUUCAUUCAACAAGUAUUUCUCAAGAUCCCAGUGCUGGAAACUGACAACCCAUUGCUUCAGUAAACUAAACAAAGAAAGGGACAGUGUCUCCAGGCGAGGGACAAGUCUGUGCCACAGCCCUGAGAUGGGAGAGUCAGAGCCUGCUUGAGACAGAUAAGGCUAGGUCAGUAACUGUGGCUAGAGCCAGGUGAGGCAGCACAGCAGGAAUUUGGCCCAGCCCAACUGUGUUGUCCCCUGCCAGAGGAUUUAGUUUUAAUCUCAACACCAUUGGGAGAGUAUAGAAUUUGGUUUGUGCAUGGACAUAGCAUCUGCCUGUGGAACUGUAGGAUCAGCUGGGUGCUAGGUUGAGAAAAAGCCGCAAGGGUCAAGAGAGCCUGGGAAGCUAAAAACAAGGUUUUGCAGUAACAUUAACUGGAGUAGAGAGCAGAGUACAUGGAUUUAUGGUUUGGAGAGAAUGCAGAGCACUUUGUAAGUGUUUGGGUAAGGGCAAAGAGAAGCUUGUGUACUUUCUUUCAUGGAAGGUGGGGUUAUGUUUGCUACAGAGACAAUAUAUACAUGCUUUCCCCCCCUCUGAAGGGAGCAAGGAAAGCAGUUACACCUGUGAGGGACUCUGAGCUGGCUCAGUGGGUAAAGUGCUGGCCUUGCAAGGACCUGACUUCAACCCCAGCAAACAAGUAAAAGCCAGGUGUGGAUGUAUCCAUGUAUAACCCUGGUGUUGGGCACAGGAGCAGAGGUAGAAGAACCCUAGGGGAUUGGUUUAGUGAGAGACCAUGCCUCAGAAUUAAGGCAGAAGAUAAAUGAGGAAGACCUCUGAUGUGGACCUCCUGCCUCCACAAAUACACACAAGGGCUCGUACACCUACACAUGUGUGAAUUUAACACACACACACACACACACACACACACACACAAAUAAAUAAAUAUUCAAAAGGAAUAAAUUAUUAUAAGUCUGUGUCAGAGGAAGUCUCCAGAGAGCCAUGACAGCAGUUUCUAUGUCUGUCUUCUAUUGGGUAAGAACCAUCAUCGAUGAUCUUGGAGAAACAUACAAAAGAAAUGCUGUCCCCAUGCAGAGGGCGAAGGCAGUACUGGUAGGUGUACAGUUCUGGAAGGCUCCAUGGACUUGACAAAGUGCUCUCCUAGAUCAAGAAGGACAAGCAGAAUCUUAAGAGAGCUGACUGGACAGGUGGGAAGAGUGUGCUCCAACAGAGGCUGCAGAGGAGAGCAUUGUUCUGGAGAAACACUGAGCUUGAGGACACAGCAGCCCUCUGAUCAAAGACUCUCAAGAAGACCGAACUGAACUGAGCUGAAGGCAUGACCUUCCCAUGUCUAAGAGAAAGCAAAAAUAGUUGAAUCCAGACCUUCCCCAUCUGGACAAGCAGAGUCCAGAGCAGGUCUAGCCCAACCCUCAGUGAACACUGUAGAGGGAGACAUGAAGCAGAGGAAGACUCGGUGAGAGCCAGAAAUGUGAUGAAAUACCAACAGAUAAGCUCAGCAAAGCACCUUCACAGUCUUGAUUUCUUAUAAAUAACAAGUGCUCCGUGUGGUGUUGGCCAGGCUAAGCCUCCCUGUGCAUGAAUUCUUUUCAUUCAUUUCUUCAUCUGUUGUGGAAAGAGAUUUGAGUUGCCCAUUUCCCCAAUGAGUUGAGCUCUGUGGUGAAUGAAUCAUUUGUCUAAGUCUCUGACUAGAAAUGACAGUGACAGAAGCAUCCAGGGUUGUCUGACUCCAAAGCCCACCUGAGGUGGGUCUGUCUUCAGUGAUGGGAAGCAGAGCAACCCUGGAAAUGUAUGCUACAGGAUCAUUAGCAUGAUUUAAUAAGCCGUUCCCUUGAGCCAGGAUUGCCAACAGCUCCAUCUGACAUGGCCAUAUGGGUCACCACACUAGGGGAAGAGGCUAACUAUCUCCAGUCUUUGUGGGAAACCCUGUCCUGGCCAGGAAGGGGAAGUUUUAAGUGAUGUAUUAAAAACAGG